CUGCAGCUUAGUGCAGCCGAGGGGAGGCUUGUGUAGACCUACAACCAGAAGCCGGUGUUGUCUUGACCUCAGCACAAAUUCUACAAGGGCUCGAAAUACUUUGAGAUCGACGUCGACGUGCACUGGUUCGGCUACAUAUCAUGAAAGGGCCUCGAGACCUUCCGAGAGCGGCACAAAGAUGGCGUCAUCGAUCUUGGACCGACCAUUGAGGUACUUACGUUUCCUUAUGUUAUUGACCUUGGGAUCAGUUGGCAUGAAGAGUAUUUUGUUCAGAGGAAGGCUAAAGUAUGA
RNAcentral lists this ribosomal RNA (291 nucleotides) under Triticum aestivum (bread wheat). RNAcentral's name for it is "partial small subunit ribosomal RNA". The record is from RNAcentral. Lineage: Eukaryota; Viridiplantae; Streptophyta; Magnoliopsida; Poales; Poaceae.